UGGGGAAUAUUGCGCAAUGGGCGAAAGCCUGACGCAGCGACGCCGCGUGGAGGAUGAAGGUCUUCGGAUUGUAAACUCCUGUCAGAUGGAAAGAAAAGCUUGCGUUUAAUAGAUGUAAGUAUGACGGUACCAUCAGAGGAAGCACCGGCUAACUUCGUGCCAGCAGCCGCGGUAAUACGAAGGGUGCAAACGUUAUUCGGAAUCACUGGGCGUAAAGGGUGCGUAGACGGUAUGUUAAGUUCGUUGUUAAAGGCUCCGGCCUAACCGGAGUAUUGCAAUGAAAACUGGCGUGCUAGAGGGUGAGAGAGAGAAGUGGAAUUCCUGGAGUAGCGGUAAAAUGCGUGGAUCUCAGGAGGAACACCAAUGGCGAAGGCAGCUUCUUGGCUCAUACCUGACGUUG
Molecule: ribosomal RNA, 400 nt
Filed under: uncultured bacterium
Lineage: Bacteria
Description: bacterial SSU rRNA
Rfam family: Bacterial small subunit ribosomal RNA
Source: RNAcentral